Molecule: ribosomal RNA, 465 nt
Filed under: Vreelandella stevensii
Lineage: Bacteria; Pseudomonadati; Pseudomonadota; Gammaproteobacteria; Oceanospirillales; Halomonadaceae
Description: partial 16S ribosomal RNA
Rfam family: Bacterial small subunit ribosomal RNA
Source: RNAcentral
UCUACGGGUGGCAGCAGUGGGGAAUAUUGGACAAUGGGCGAAAGCCUGAUCCAGCCAUGCCGCGUGUGUGAAGAAGGCCUUCGGGUUGUAAAGCACUUUCAGUGGGGAAGAAAGCCUUGGGGCUAAUACCCUCGAGGAAGGACAUCACCCACAGAAGAAGCACCGGCUAACUCCGUGCCAGCAGCCGCGGUAAUACGGAGGGUGCGAGCGUUAAUCGGAAUUACUGGGCGUAAAGCGCGCGUAGGCGGUCUGAUAAGCCGGUUGUGAAAGCCCCGGGCUCAACCUGGGAACGGCAUCCGGAACUGUCAGGCUAGAGUGCAGGAGAGGAAGGUAGAAUUCCCGGUGUAGCGUUGAAAUGCGUAGAGAUCGGGAGGAAUACCAGUGGCGAAGGCGGCCUUCUGGACUGACACUGACGCUGAGGUGCGAAAGCGUGGGUAGCAAACAGGAUUAGAUACCCGGGUAGUC